Molecule: RNase P RNA, 281 nt
Filed under: Thermoproteota archaeon
Lineage: Archaea; Thermoproteati; Thermoproteota
Description: RNase P RNA component
Rfam family: Archaeal RNase P
About the family: Ribonuclease P (RNase P) is a ubiquitous endoribonuclease, found in archaea, bacteria and eukarya as well as chloroplasts and mitochondria. Its best characterised activity is the generation of mature 5'-ends of tRNAs by cleaving the 5'-leader elements of precursor-tRNAs. Cellular RNase Ps are ribonucleoproteins.
Source: RNAcentral
GUGAGCCAGUGAGUGGGACACUCGAAAGAGAGGAAACUCCUCCCUCGUUGCAGACGCCUGAAUUAGCGAUAAUUAGUCGGAGACGGCUGGCAACGGAACAGAAAAGAUAUCCAGUCAGUGUAAUACGAUGAUGGUGAAUAACCUGAGGUUUUCUGAUACUGGAAUGAAACUGCCGACCCAGGCGGAGCAAGGCCAAAUGGAGCAUAAGGAUCUGCACCUGCUCAGGUUGGCUGCUCAGCAGAAUCCCGCUUAGAACAGAAGGAGAGUUAUUGCUGGCACGC